CCUUAACAUACUAUCAUAAGCAUAAUUCAUACAUAAAUUAAAGUGUGAAAGAUAUAAUGAAAUUAAGAAAAUCUGAAAAUCAAGUUAUGUCAAUAAUGUUAUGACAGUACAACAACCAAAACUCGUCCACGAAACCUCUACUGAAUACUAACUGUCUACGCCAAGACAAGGCCCCGGCUGGACCAUUAAUUGAAAGACUCAACAUAUGAAUAAAUGCCUUUCGAAAGAUGGAUGGCUCACCAAUUAUGUUAUAUUCCAAAUGUUCUACUCAUGGGAUAGACCAUAGGGCUAUACCGCAAAACCUGAAAUAUGAGGGGGGAGGGUCAAUACUUGGAGAGUAUUGGUAUGUAGAACUAGCAUAAAAUAACAUAUACUUCGUAUAACAAAAUUUAGAGUAUUUUAAAAUAAUUCAGCAUAAUAUAUAUAUAUAUAUAUAUAUAAACAUGGGCAUAAUAUGAAAAACUUCCAUUCAUGCUUGUAAAACAUUUACUCAACUCUUUUCUUUAGUUCUAAGCUAGAUAGUACAUCCUAAAUUUCUAAAAUCCCACGGGCUAUAUGGAAUCCGCCCUUAACUUGGCAGCCAAGCCCCCAAUCCAAGUUUGUCGCAAAGAUUGGAGUACGUAAACUGGUAUACCCCCAUGUGAGUAUAUCAUAGGAACCCCCCCAUGCGAGAUGUCCUAAUUAUCUUCCCUUAUAGGAUAACAUAUCAUAAGUCCCGCGUAGGCAAAACACGAUUUUCAGCAGUGAGUUAACUGAACUUGUGCCUUCUUCGGGUAACCAAGGCUCUUAAAAUCAUACUUCAUGAUUAUGAAAAAGUUCAUUUCUUAUUCUAUUAAUGGCAUAUCAUAACAGGGUAUCGUAAUACCCAGACUUGCAAGUCAUCACAUCAUACCACAUCAUAUCCAUAGCCGUUUUUAUUCAAAAGUAUUUUAAUGACAACCCAAAAGAUUUAAACAUCACUUCAUAAAGUUCUUAUAUCAAGUAUCAUAUGAAAUUAUGCAAAAUACUUGCUUUUCAAUACUUUAACAUGUGGUGAUCAAUUCUUACAUAAAACACAUGCAAUUCUUCAUUAAGAAACAAUACCAUUUAGAAUAACAAUCAAUUUUUGAAAAACAUGUAAAAAAACCAAGCAUUAUAUGGAAAGAGGCAUUUAAAAUUCAAGAAUUAUCCUUAUUUGUAAAAUAAACCCAACAUUAGUUAUACGUAAAUCUAAUGAUCAAAAAAGGCCUUAUAAUUCAUGCUCUGAAACCCGUUUCAUAAUCCAUAACAUGUUAAGAACAUAAAUUUCAUCAUGGAAGGCGGAAAUUUCACAAAUAAUACUCACCUUUCGAAACUUAUAGUAUAUAUGCGCAUGAUUAUAAUUCAAGUUCAUGAAAAAACCCUUAGAAAUUUCAUAAUUUCACUAAACAUGAAUUCAUGAUGCAUUCUCUUCAACGGCUUUCAAACCCAUAAUACGUACAUACUUAUAUACUUUAAAGCUUGUAAAUACAUGAAAAUCAUGCCCAUGAGACUUAGUAUAGUCCCGCAUACAUUAAAAUCAAAGAGAACAUAGAGAAAUUUGGCCCUUGGAGAUUAAAAUCUUCAAACCCUAGGUAGUUUCUCUUCUUUAGCUUAAUGAAAGAUGAUUUGGGUAUUUGAGAAGUGAAAUAACGUGUGUUAAGACCUAAAUUUUGUCCAUAUAUGAUUAGGCACGAUUAUAGAAUGCGAAAAGAGCUCAAUGCCCUUAAAAUAGAAUAAAAUGGAACAGUUUAUUAUGCUUAGAAAAGGCUUUGCAUCGCCAAGCCAAAUCAAACCUCAAUGUUUGCAGCACAUGGACAAAUUAAACUUGAGGCAGUGUGAUUUUGGCGAUUCCUCUGCAGAACAGGGCCAACACAAACCCUAGACAGUGUCUCACUAAAAAAUUCAGAACUUUUGACUCCAAACUCGGAUUGACAAAUAAUCGAUGGCAUUGGAAAGAAGACUCAACGCACUUUAAUUUGAUAUAUUAUGGGCCGCAUAACUCCUCAUAUUCUAGGAGAAAUAGUUGCUGGAUGUUGACCCAAGAAAAAUCAUCAACUGAAACUCAACCGAUAAGAAAGUGCUCAACUUAAAUUUGAGCUAGGAGACUUUUAUGACGUAUACUCAUCUCCAAAGAUGUUCUCACACUAAAUAAUAAUUAUUCACACUUAUUUCUAUUUGGUAACCAUUGGUUUCGGGUCUAUACACAUAGGAAAAAUGGUUUAACUUUAGCCCGAAAGUAUGUGGUGUUACAUUAUCUCCCCCUUGGGGUCAUUCAUCCUCGAAUGGUGAGUAGGAACUUAUCAAAGCCAUAGAAGUAUGGAAUAAAGGACGUAAAUUUAUUUUUGGAAUUUUCCCUCAACGUAACUUACAUAGGCAUUCAAUAAAGGCUUCAUGACACCACCAAGUGAAUCGUAUAUGCAUGGAGCGUAAGAUAAUGAGAAUUGACAUAGAGAUAGCCUUGCGCAUGAGUUCUAGGGAUUAUAAUCAUCACAACAUUAGGCAUAAACUUAUUUGGUGGUCAUGGGUAUUGAUUUAAAUUGGCAUUAAAUAUGGGAUAAGACUCCAUGAAACAUAGGAAUAGAGGUAUCCUCCAUCUUAUAUGAUAUGACCGAUAGACCUUACACUUAGAGACACUACUCGACUAUGCCCCAAACAAUAAAUAACAUGCUUCAUCAUUUUCAACAUACAAUUUCCCCAACAAUCAGGGGAGGACCCACUUAGGUUCAAGUGGGUUCAAAUGAACCCACUUCAUCAAAAAAGUACACUGUAUAUAUAUGUAUAUAUAAUAAGUCUUUAUAAAUAUAAAAGUAUAUAUUUAAUUUUUAACCCACUAUGAACAAGUGAAGUGGGUAGUCUAGUGGAAGUGGGUUCAAAUUUUUUUACGCGAUGAACCCUUAUAACAACAGUCUUUUUUUUUCAAAAGCAGCAGCCCCAUUUUUUGGUUUUAACUUUUAAGCAUCAGUAAAGCAGCAACCACAUUUUUUUGGUAAAAAAAUUUACUUUUCAAUUUUUUCCUAAAACAUGCAAAUUCUCCAAUCCUCAAUUCUACCUUAUUCCCCAUUCCCUACAACAUAAAUAAAAACAAAAAUACUUGUAAUGCCCCGUACUUUUUUCUAGCUAAUUUCAUCCCAAGAAUAUCUAGUAUUAGCUUCUAAAUUAAAUUAUGGUUAUUCCAUGAGGAAUUUUUAUGAUAUUCACUUUUUGUCAUGUGAAAAAUUCAAUAAGCUUUCCAUCAAUAAAAGAUUCACCCAAAUUUGAUAACCGGGUCAGAAGUUACGACUAUUUUAACUGUUCAUUAUAAAACAGUGCCAUAUUAGUUAGUGACACGCUGCACCAUAAGAGGAAAUGGCACUUGGAAAAUUUCAGUAGGGGUCCGCUAUUAUGGCACGUAGCGCCAGGGCCCAAAUUCAGAAUUGUCCUUUUCCAGUAUCUUAGCGCGAUUUCCUCCGUGUCACGCCAAAGUUCCAGGCCACAAAAAAGGGGCAACGCGAUGGCUCCACGUCACGCCAUCCCUCAGUUUUUCAAUUAUCAAAUUCUAGUGACACAGUGCGAUAGCGCCAUGUCGCGCCAGGGGUUCAAUUCAAGAAUUUUUUACUGAAAGUACAAGACACGUCCAGGGUUAAAAGGGUCAAUUUUCCACCCCUAUUUAAGCCCUAUAAAACGUGAUUAAGCUACUUUUCAUCCAAAAUACACUCUCUUCUGUCAAAAAUCUCUCAAGAAUAACCUAGGGCUUUUCAUAGAAGAUUCAGAAUCAAGAAUUUCCUCCAUCAAUCUUCACGAAAUCGCAAACUAAGGUAUGCAUAGUGUUCAUUCAUGAACUCCUUUCAUCCAUAAAGCCCAAGAAUACCUUUUCUAAAUUCAAGUUUAUGGAUUUUCUUAUGAAUUUCAUGAGUGGACUGCUCUAGCUCAUGUGGAUAGUGAGAAAUUGAAUUCUACUCCAUGUUGGGUGAUAAAUUCUAUGUGGGUUACAUUAUUAUGGAUAUAGAUUCAUGCAAACCUAUGAUUAAACCCUUGAAUGAUGAAAUUAGAAUUGAAUCAUGAUGUUUAAUUAUUGUACAAUGAUGUUUACAUGUACCAUGCCUAUAAUAUGUUUGAUUAAAUGCCUAGAUGAAGAAAGUGCCUAACUAGCAUGAGACUAUGAAAUCCCCAUGUAUGUACAAGUUAUGCCUAUCACAUGUUUUGAUAAAAUACUUCUAUAAAUGUAUUAUGGAUUAUGAUGUUAGUUAUAUGUUCAAGUAAGUUAUGCUUGGUCAGUUUCCUUCCAUCGAGUCCUGGGGGUACUCGUACCCGAAACAUUAGUUGUGUGCCGAGAGCCAUGUCAUGUUUUCACGAUACUCUCAGUCAAGCUAUGAAUCCUUAGACUUUAGAUAGUCUUAUGACUCAGGAAAUCUCCAUGAUCUCAUAAACUCAGUCAGUUGUCAGAUAUCAGUAGUAUUCUAUCAGUCAACGAAAUUUAGAAACUCAACCCAUGUUUAGUUCAGUAAAUCAUGUUCAGAGUCUAUUCAGAUGGGAGUAGGAAUUAGUAUCGAGUGAACCAUAGGAUGGGAACACACACUAUCAGAUGAGGGUGUGAUUCUUAGAAGUCAUUCUUGCAUUUCAGAACUAUGUAGCCAACAUAGAUUGAGAUAUCAACACUGUCCGAUGAAGGUUGAUGAGGUGGAUAAGCACUGUCAGAUAAGGACCCCACCGUUCUUUUUUGGGAACACUAUCAGAUGAGGGUCACCCAAAGCUUGUCCUUACCAGUGGCGUGGUAUUUACACCCUUUCCAAUUGGGGUUACAGAUUGGACCCCAACUCAGCCAUAAUGGCAUAUUAGGGGUAUGUCAAUUAGAUAACUACUUCCCACAGUUUCAUGUUACAGAAUCAGGACUGUCAGAUAUAGUUAAUCAGUCUCAGUGAUAGAACUCGGAUAGUUAUUUAGAUUUUAGGACUAUUAAAUACAGUCAACUUAGAUAUAGUACGGAACUCAGAUAGUUCCAUCAGAUCUAGGACUGUCAGAUACAGUCACUCAUGUUAGCAGUUAUAUUCAGAUUCAGUAAUCAUGUUAUCAUAGUAUUAGUGUCAGUUGUUAUGUCUCAUACAUGUAUUCUCAUGCUCAUGAUAGUUAGUCAGUUAUUUUUAUUUUUUAUGCAUAUGAACCCCAUGCAUUCAGCCUACCUUACAUGCAUACCAAUACAUUCAAAGUACUGAUGUAUUUGCGUUAUGGUGUCUUAUACUAUAGGUUCAGAGAUAUGAGCUCCUGAGCAAUAGUAGAAUCCAGAUAUUUGCAGAUAGAGUUAGAAGUGAGUCCUCAUCUUUCAUGGAUAUGAUUAUUUCCCUAUUAUCUCAUUAAUCAGUUUAUUAGUUGGAGUUAGUUAGGGACAUAUCCCAUCAACUCCUUACUCAGAUAGGUAAGUCAGUUAGAGGCUUUCUAGACUAUCAUGUUUCAGACUUCAUUCAGAUGUUAUAUCUUUAGCAGUUAUGUUACAGUCUUGAACCUUAUAUUCUUUUAGUUCAUGUUUCCACAAUCAUACAGUAUAUUAUGCAGUAUACAGGUACAGAUAUCAGUCUUGGGUUAGCUUGUGGUCCUUUGGGGUCAUGAGCAUAGUGUAGUAUUCUGAGUACCAGAUCCGGGGAGUUACAAACUUGGUAUCAAAGUGUAAGGUUCAAUAGAGUUCUAGGAAGUAUGAAAGCCGUAUCUAGUAGAGUCUUAUACAUGGGUGUGUUGCGCGCCAUAUUUAUGUACAGGAGGCAAUAAGAUGUCUUAGGAAUAGUUUUCCCUUUUUCAGUAUUUAUGUCGUGCCAGUGAGCAUAAUCUCAAGUCAAUCUCUCAGUCUAAUCCAUUUCUCCCUUUCUUCUACAAAACAUGCCUCCUAAAAGAAGAAAUGGAAAUCAGUCAGCCCCUCAGCACGAAGAUCCUUUGGGCGAUCAUGUUUCUCAUGUGGAGUUUAGGGCCACUUUCACUACUCUUAAUCAGUUAGUUGUCGCUCAAAAUGAAUAGCCAGCAGUCAUUCCGGUCAACCCAGUGACCAAUUCAGCUGCACUAGGAUUCGGGACUUCACCCGAAUGAAUCCUUUAUCCUUCCUCGGGUCUAAGGUAGAUAAAAACCCUUAAAAAUUCAUUUAUUAGGUACAGAAAGUGAAAGACAUCAUGGGGUGACUACUGUCUAGAGUGCUGAGCUAGUUGUAUAUCAAUUGUAGGAUGUGGCUCAUACUUGGUUCAAACAGUGGAAGUGAAAAAGGUCAGAUGAUGCAGGUCCUAUAGAGUGGGAGGAGUUUGUCACUGCAUUCUUAGACAGAUUCUUUCCCCAAGAGCUUAGAGAGGCUAAGGUGCUAGAAUUCAUCAACCUCAGGCAGGCCAAUAUGAUGGUGAAAGAGUAUUCUCUUAAGUUUGCUCAAUUAGCCAGAUAUGCCCCUCAUGUGGUUGCAGACAGCAGAGCCAAGAUGAGUAAGUUCGCUUCAGGGGUAAAUGAUAGCAUGGUAAAUAAGUGCAGAUCUGCCAUGCUGAAUAGUGACAUGACAUUAGCCAGGCUUAUGACUCAUGCUCAGUAAAUAGAAAAGAGCAAAAUAUUAAGCAGAGGGAUAAGAAGAAUAAGAGAGCGAAGAUAGGUAGUUUCAACUUCGCUCAGCCUAAAUCAGAAUGAGGAAACCGUUCCCAGUUUCGUCCUAAGUCAUCAAUUCCAGCCCCUUCUUUAGACAGUGCCCCAGUUUCUAAGUUCAGGGAGGGUAACAAAGAUAGAGAACCGGGCUCUAGAUCUCAGGGCAGUGUUAGAAAUGCCCAAACUAAUCCCCUUUGUCAGAGUUGUGGUAAGAACCACAAGGGUGCUUGCAGAGCUGGUAGCGAUGUCUGUUUUGGUUGUGGCAAGCAAGGCAAGAGUGUCAGAGACUGCCCUUAGUCAAUUUAUCAUAGUUAUCUCCAUACCUUAGCUCAAUUUGGUCACCCAAAUCAGUAGGUUGCCACCACCAGUGUUACUAGUGGGCAACGCCCAAAUCGUCUUUAUGCUCUUCAGUUCGGACAGGAUCAGGAAAAUUCUCUUGAUGUAGUUACUGGUACGUUGCAGAUCUUUCAUGUGCAUGUUUAUGCUUUGCUAGAUCCAGGAGCGUCUUUCUCUUUUGUUACUCCUUAUAUAGCAGUCGAUUUCAGAGUUAGUCCUGAAAUUCUAGCAGAGCCCUUUUCAAUCUCUACCCCAGUGGGUAAAACCAUCAUAGCCCAACGGGUAUAUAGGAAUUGCCCGGUUAUGAUAUCUCAGAAAGUCACUUCAGCAGACUUAGUCGAAUUAGAGAUGAUUGAUUUUGAUGUCAUUCUCAGCAUGGAUUGGCUUCAUUCCUUCUAUGCCACAAUCGACUAUAGAAAUAGAAUAGUCCAGUUUCAGUUCACAAAUGAACCCGUCCUUGAGUGGAAGGGUAGUACUUUAGCGUUCAGAGGUCUGCUUGUUUCCUAUCUUUGGGCAUGGAAAUUGAUAUCUAAGGGAUGUGUCUAUCAUUUUGUUCAUGUUAAGGAUUCCAGUUCUGAGACUCCCAGCCUUGAAUCAAUCCCAGUAGUGAAUGAAUAUUCAGAUUUCUUUCCCGAAGAUCUUCCAGGAAUUCCUCCCUAAAGGGAAAUAGACUUUGGCAUUGAUCUUCUUUCAGAUACUCAGCCUAUAUCUAUUCCUCCAUACAGAAUGGCACUAGAAGAACUCAAUGAACUGAAAGAACAAUUGAAUGAUCUCUUAGAUAAGGGAUUCAUCAGGCCCAGCGUUUCCCCGUGGGGCGCUCCAGUAUUAUUCGUUCGCAAGAAAGACGGUCUCUCAGGAUAUGUGUAGACUACUGUCAACUCAAUAAGGUCACGAUCAAGAACAAGUAUCUUCUUCCCAGAAUCGAUGACUUAUUUGACCAACUUCAGGGGGUGCCAUUUAUUUUUCUAAGAUAGACCUCAAAUUCGGAUAUCAUCAGCUCAGAGUCAGAGAAUAUGACAAUUUGAAAAUAGUUUUUCAUACUCGGUAUGGUCACUUUGAAUUCCUAGUCAGGUCAUUUGGUCUUACCAAUGCCCCAGCCACUUUCAUGAACUUGAUGAACCGUGUGUUCAAGCAGUACUUGGACAUGUUCAUCAUAGUCUUCAUAGAUGAUAUCCUAGUCUUUUCCCACAGUGGAUGCAAUCAUGCAGACCAUCUCAAAAUAGUACUUCAGACUUUCAGAGAUCAUCAGUUGUUUCCCAAAUUCAAUAAAUACGAAUUUUGGCUAAGGUCAGUAGCAUUCCUUGGUCAUAUCAUUUUCGAUGAUAGCAUUAGAGUAGAUCCUUGAAAGACCAAAGCAGUAAAAAACUGGCCUCGCCCUAUCUCUCCAUCAGAUAUUAGGAAGUUCUUGGGUUUGGCUGGCUAUUACAGAUGGUUUGUUGAGGGAUUUUCUUCUAUUACAUCCCCUAUGCCUAGAUUAACUCAGAAGAAAGUUAAGUUUCGGUGGUCAGAUCCUUGGAAGAAGAGUUUUCAGGAGUUGAAGACUUGACUCACCUCAGCUCUAGUCUUAUCUCUCCCAGAUGGUUCAGAUGGGUUCGUAGUGUAUUAUGAUGUAUCCAGAGUAGGUCUAGGUUGUGUCCUCAUGCAGCAUGGUAAGGUCAUAGCCUAUGCCUCCAGACAGCUUAAACCCCAUGAAAGGAAUUAUCCUACUCAUGAUCUUGAGUUAGCAGCCGUAGUCUUUGCCUUAAAGAUUUAGAGGCAUUAUCUCUACGGAGUUUAUGUAGAUGUCUUCACAAAUUAUAAAAGUCUUCAGUAUAUUUUUUCUCAUAAAGAUCUCAAUCUUCGAUAGAGAAGGUGGUUGGAGCUCUUGAAAGAUUAUGACAUGAAUGUCCUUUAUCAUCCAGCCAAGGCCAACAUAGUAGCCGACGCUCUCAGUAGACUAUCCAUGGGUAGUGUUUCUCAUGUUGAGGAUAGUAAGAAGAAGUUAGCUUGAAGUCCAUCAGGUUGCUAGACUAGGCGUUCACUUAGUCGAUAUAGAAGAGGGUAAUAUAUGGGUUCGGAGUAGUUUAGAAUUAUCUCUAGUUUCUGAGGUAAAAGAAAAAGCAAGAUAGAGAUCCCAGCCUUGUUAAGUUGAAAGAGUCUGUCCAGGAUUAGAAAGUAGAGGUUUUCUCUCAAGGGGGAGAUGGUGUCCUUUGUUGUCAGGGUCGUUUCUGUGUUUCAGGUGUAGAUGACUUAAGGCAGCAAAUUCUUGCAGAAGCGCAUGGUGCGCGCUACUCUAUUCAUCCAGGGGCCACAAAAAUGUACCGUGACUUGCGAAAAAUCUAUUGGUGGAGUGGGAUAAAGAGAGACAUUUCAGAGUUUAUGGCUAAGUGCUCUUCAUGUUAGCAGGUUAAGAUAGAGCAUAAGAAUCCUAGUGGGUCCAUACAGGAGUUCAGUAUUCCUACUUGGAAGUGGAAAGUUGUGAACAUGGACUUCGUGAUGGGUUUGCCUCGAACUUGUCAUCAGCAUGAUUCAGUUUGGGUCAUUGUAGACAGAAAGACCAAAUCAACUCAUUUUAUUCCAGUUCAUACUUCUUAUUCAAUCGAGGAUUACGCCAAACUCUACAUCAAGGAGUUGGUCAGAUUGCACAGUGUUUAAUUAUACAUUAUCUCAGAUAGAGGUACCCAGUUCACCUCUCAUUUUUGGAAAGUAUUCCAAAAGGGUCUUGGUACCCAAGUUCAUCUUAGUACAAACUUUCAUCCUCAAACAGAUGGUCAAGUAGAAAGGACCAUUCAGAUGUUAGAAAAUAUGCUAAGGGUGUGUGCAAUCGAUUUCAAGGGAAGUUGGGAUGACCACUUACCUUUGAUUGAGUUUGCAUACAACAACGGCUAUCAUUCCCGUAUUCAUAUGGCUCUAUUCGAAACUCUCUAUGGUAGGAGAUGUAGAUCUCUAAUUGGUUGGUUUGAAGUUAGUGAGGCCUCACUCAUAGGUCCUGACUUGGUAGUCGACGCCUUAGAAAAAUUCCAGUUGAUUAGAGAAAGACUCCGAGAUGCUCAGAGCCAACAGAAGUCUUAUACAGAUGUUCGUGGAAAAGAUUUUAAGUUCAACAUUGGUGACUAUGUCUAUCUAAAGAUCUCUCCCAUUAAGGGAGUGAAGCAGUUCUCCAAGAAAGGAAAACUCAAUCCCCAAUAUGUCGAUCCCUUCAAGAUUCUCAGUCGAUUCGGUAAGGUAGCUUAUGAGCUUGUUGAGCACUAAUAAUAUUAAUAUUUUAAUUUAAUAUAAUGUAUAUGUACAAUAAAGGCUCCAUUAAUUGCGGCUUAAGUUUCCUCUACAUCUUUUUCUUUGAUGAGCAAAAAAAUUUUUAAUUCAUUAAAAUUUUCAUUGAUGUAUAGUUUUAUUGAUUAACACGAGACACGCGUACAAAACACGUAAACUUGACUAGUAUAAUUAAUCUAAUUGGUUAGAAAUAUAAAGCAUUGGUGUUCAGAACACUCUCUCUUAUGAAGAGAUUCCUGUUGAAAUCUUAGACUAUCAGACUCGUAGAUUGAGAAAUAAAGAAGUCCCUCUAGUUAAACUUCUUUGGCGAAAUUAGUCCGUCAAGGGAGCUACUUGGGAAGCAGAGGCAGACAUACAUACCAAGUAUCCUCACCUCUUCUUCUCCAACUAGGAUCAAGCUCAAGGUAAUAGUUCUCCUUAAGAUUACUCAGUUUCAUGUUUAGUGUUCGUCACAAACUUGGUAUCCAGUUUCAUGCUUAUGUUCCCGUUAUAAACUUGGUAUCAAGUACCAUUGCAUAUUCAGUCAUGCACUCAUGUAUCAGUUCAGUUAUGUAAUUAUACAUCAGACAUGCAUUCGUAUUGUGAGAAACUUAGUUCUUCAGAACACUCAGUCAUGCAUUCAUGAAUCAGUUACACAUGCAUCAAAUAUGAAUGUUCAGCAUUAUAUGUUCAACUUGUCAGUCAUGUCAGUCAUGAGAUCAUGUUCCAGAUAUUCAUGUUCAUUAUGUACGUCAGUUGUCUUUUCACCCCUCUCAGUCAGUCUCAUUCGAGGAUGAAUGUUCUCAAGGGUGAGAUAUUAUAAUACCCCAUACUUUUUUCUAGCUAAUUUCAUCCCAAGAAUAUCUAGUAUUAGCUUCUAAAUUGAAUGAUGGUUAUUCCAUGAGGAAUUUUCAAGAUUUUCACAUUUUUUCAUGUGGGAAAUUCAAUAAGCUUUCCAUCGAUAUAAGAUUCGCCCAAGUCUGAAAAUCGGGUCAGAAGUACGACUAUUUUAAGUUCCCAUCAUAAAACAGCACCAUAUUAGUCAGUGGCGCACCACGCCACAAGAGGAAAUGGCACUUGGUAAAUUCAAAUAGGGGUCUUCGAUUAUGGCGCAUCGCACAGGGCCUAAAUUUAGAAUUGUCCUUUUCUAGUUUCUUAGUGCGAUUUCAUCCACAUCGCGCCAAAGUUCCAGGUCACAAAAGAAGGGGCAACGUGAUGGCUCUGCAUCAUGCCAUCCCUCAGUUUCUCAAUUGUCAAAUUCCAGUGACACAACGCGAUGGCGCUACAUCACACCAGGGGUUCAAUUUGGGAAACUUUUACUAAAAUUACAAGACGCGUUCAAGGUUAAAAAGGUCAAUUUCCAACUCCUAUUUAAGCCAUUUAACACGUGAUUCAGCCAAUUUUCACCCAAAAUACACUCUCUUCUCUCAAAAACCUCUUAAGAACAACCUAGGGCUUUUCAUAGAAGAUUUAGAAUCAAAAAUUUCCUUCGUCAAUCUUUACGAAAUCGUGAACUAAGGUAUGCAUAGUGUUCAUUCAUGGACUUCUUUCAUCCAUGAAGCCCAAGAAUCCCUUUUCUAAAUUCAAGUUUAUGGAUUUUCUUAUGAAUUUCAUGAUUGGGCUGCUCUUGUUCAUGUGGAUAAGGAGAAAUUGAAUUCUACUCCAUGUUCGGUGAUAAAUUCUAUGUGGGUUACAUUAUUAUGGAUUUAGAUUCUUGCAAACCUAUGAUUAAACCCUUAAAUGAUGAAAUUAGAAUUGAACCAUGAUGUUUAAUUAUUGUACAAUGAUGUUUACAUGUACUAUGCCUAUAAUAUAUUUGAUUAAAUGCCUUGGUGCCUAACUAGCAUGAGACCAUGAAAUCCCCAUGUAUGUACAAGUUAUGCCUAUCACAUGUUUUGAUGAAACGCUUCUAUAAAUGUAUUAUGGAUUAUGAUAUUAGUUAUAUGUUCAAGUAAGUUAUGCUUGGUCAGUUUCCUUCCAUCGAGUCUUAGGUGUACUCGUACCCGAAACAUUAGCUGUGUGCCUAGAACCAUGUCAUGUUUUCACGAUACUUUCAGUCAAGCUAUGAAUCCUUAGACUUCAGACAGUCUUAUGACUCAGGAAAUCUCCAUGAUCACAUAAACUCAGUCAGUUGUCAGAUAUGAGUAGUAUUCCCUCAGUCAAUGAAAUUUAGUAACUCAGCCCAUAUUCAGUUCAGUAAAUCAUGUUCAGAGUCUAUUCAGACAGGAGUAGGAAUUAGCACCGAGUGAACCAUAGGAUGGGACCACACACUAUUAGAUAAGGGUGUGAUUCUUAGAAGUCAUCCAUGCAUUCCAGAACUAUUUAGCCAGCAUAAGUUGAGACAUCAACACUGUCCGAUGAGGGUUGAUAAGUUGGAUAAGCAAUGUCAGAUAAGAGACCCACCAUUCUCUUUUGGGGAUACUAUCAGAUAAGGGUCACCCACAACUUGUUCUUACCAGUGGGGCGGUAUUGCUACCCUUUCUAAUUGGGGUUACAGGUUGGACCCCAACUCAGCCAUAAUGGCAUAUUAGGGGCAUAUCGGUUAGAUAACUACUUCCCCCAGUUUCAUGUUAUAGAAUUAGGACUGUCAGAUACAGUCAAUCAGUCCUAAUGAUAAAACUAAGAUAGUUCUUCAGAUUUUAGGACUGUCAGAUUCAGUCAACUCAAAUACAGUACGGAACUCAGAUAGUUCCAUCAGAUCCAGGACUAUCAGAUACAGUCACUAAUGUUAUCAGUUAUAUUCAGAUUCAGUAAUCAUUUUAUCACAGUAUUAGUGUCAGUUGUUAUGUCUCAUGCAUGUAUUCUCACGCUCAUGAUAGUUCAUCAGUUCUUAUUAUUGUUCAUGCAUAUGAAACCCAUACAUUCAGCCUACCUCACAUGCAUACUAGUACAUUCAAAGUAUUGACACAUUUGCGCUAUGGUGCCUUAGACUAUAGGUUCAGAGACACGAGCUCCCAAGCAAUAGUAGAUUCUAGAUAUCUACAGACAGAGUUAGAAGUGAGUCCUCAUCUUUCGAGGACAUGAUUAUUUCCCUAUUAUCUCAUUAAUCAGUUUAUUAGUUGGAUUUAGUUGGGGACAUGUCCCAUGAACUCCUUACUCAGACAGUUCAGUCAGUUAGAGGAUUUUAAGACUAUCAUGUUUCAAACUUCAGUAUGUUUAGGGUUGUUUUGGGUAUUUCAUACCCCAUUCAGAUGUUAUAUCUUUAUCAGUUAUGUUACAAUCUUGAACCUUAUGGUCUUUCAGUUCAGGUUUCCGUAAUCAUAUAGUAUAUUAUGCAAUAUACAGGUACAGAUAUCAGUUAUGGAUUAGCUUGUGGUCCUUCGGGGUCAUGAGCACCGUGUAGCAUUUCGGGUACCAGAUUCGGGGCGUUACAAUACUCUAUAGCCUCCAACAAAAAAAAUAUCAAUAUCACAUCAAUCAAGAAAUUUAUCAUGUUUGUUCUUUGCUCUUUAUUCUCUACUUUUAAUCUUUUAUAGAUAUAAAAUUAUUGCGGUUUUUUUAUUUUCUCAAAUUAAAAAAAAAUUCUACUUAAAAUUGAAUAAAAUCACAAUUGACUUUCUCUUCAAUAUUAGUUACUUUUUUUAUAUAUAUAAAUUUUCAAAAUUCAAAUACAUACAAUAACCCUUAUUUUUCUAAUGAGACGUUUAAUUCGACGAUACAGGUUCUAAAUUUAAUGAACAGAUAUUUUGCUCUGAUAUCAUCAAAGUUGCCACAAUCAAGUUCAUCCACUUUAAAUACAGCUCACGUGGAAGAGAACUUGAAUCAAUUAGAAGAAAAUCAUCAUUCUGCUAAAAAACAAAAGCAAGGAGUAAACUUGAAUUCUUUACUGACAGAUCCAAAAGAAAGAAAAUUUAUUUAAAAGUAUCAUCCAAAUGAUCGUGAUGAGAUUACGCGAGCGUAUAUUGAAAGAGGUCCUUAUCAACCCCGAGUUUGCGAGUUUCCUCAAAGAGAUAUUUCUGGAUUAAAACAUCAAUUUAAUCGUAAAUAGUUUAGAAUAUAUCAUGAAUGAUUGGAGUAUAGUGAAAUUGAAGAUGUCGCUUAUUGUUUAUGUUGUUAUUUAUUUCAAUAUGAAAGCAUUCAUCAAGGUGAAGGUGAAGUAUUUUCAAGUAUAGGAUUUAGAAAAUGGCACAAGAAAAUUAUUAGAUACGUACGUUGAAGGGAUGAACAAUGAUCACAAUCAGGCAAAUAAACAAUGUGAAGAUCUAAUGCACAAGAACAAUCAAUUCAAGCCGCAUUUGUGAAGCCAUCCAAUCAAACCAAGCUUGAAUAUAAAAUUCAUUUACAAGCUUCUGUUGAUGUGGUGAGACUCUUUUUGAAUCAAUGAUUGACAUUCUGUGGACAUCGUGAAGAUGAAUCAUCAUUGAAUAAGGGUAAAUUUCUUGAAAUUCUUUCAUGGUAUGCAAGUCGAUGUGAUAGAAUUAGAGUUCUUGUGUUGAAAAAGGCUCCAAAAAAUAAUCAAUUAAUUUCUCAUAAAAUUUAAAAGGAUAUUGUCAUUGCAUGUGAACUUGAAACAAUUAAAGCUAUUAUGGAGGAUCUAAAUGGUGAUUAUUUUUCAUUACUAGUAGAUAAAUCUUGUGUGAUGUGUCCCGUAAGGAGCAAAUGGCAAUUUGUUUUGCGAUAUGUUGAUGUUGGGGGAUCUGUUGUAGAAUGAUUUAUAGGAAUUGUCCAUGUUCAUGAUACUAGUGCUUUAUGUUUAAUAGAACCAGUUGUUAACUAUCUUACUUAUAGACACGUGAUUUUUUAUCCUCCCUAAAUUUUAACUUGUCUAUCAAUAUUAAUAUUUAUAUUUAUAUUUAUAUUUAAUCAUAUAUUAUUUUGAUUCUUAUUUCUAUUUUUAUUUUAAUUCUAAAUAAUAUAAAAAUAAAUAAUUGCUUUAAUAUUAUUUUAUUAUAUUUGUUUUUGUCUAUUUAUGAAUUGUUAUUAUAUUUUAUUAAAUAUAAAAUUAAUUAAUUAUUAUUAUUUUAUUUAUUUAUUUAUUUAUUAUUAUUACUAAUAUUUUCUAUAUAUAUAUUUAUAAUAUUUUUUUUAAAAAAGAGGGAUUUUUAAAUUUUAAAUUUUUUUCUCCCCCUAUCCUUUAUCUGAUAAUAAACAACUUCUCCCUUAAAAAUAACUGUUCCCCCCAAAAUACUCUACUUAAAAGGACUCUCACCCCCCAGGAGAUACGUACAUUCUAUACUGGUAUAUUCUUACAAAGACAUUCUAUGCUGGUAUAUUCUUACAAAGACAUUCUAUCUACGUGAUCAGACUAUAUCAAAAAUCAAAAAAAAAAAAAAAAAAAAAAAAAAAAAAAAAAAAAAUAAAAAAAAAAAAAAAAAAAAAAAAAAAAAAAAGAACAUCAGAAAGAAGAAAAAUCAAAAAGAAAAGAGACAAGAGUGUGAAGUUUGUGUUCAAGUUUUCGGUUAAAGCGUGUCUGCUGCAAUUUUCGUUCAAUUCAUCCAUACAGGUUCUUUUCCAUUCUUGUACUAAUAUUUCAUAAAUUUUAGUUCAAUGACUUUAUGUAUCAUUCAAUAUGUAAGAGUUUGAUCACUAAUAUGAAUAUGAUUAUAAACUGUAUUGUAUAUUUGAUUAUCUAAAUAUUUUAUUGUGUAAAUGAUGAAUCAAAAGUGAGAUUAAAAUUUAUAAAAGUGAAUAUUUGGAACAACGAAUAACAGAUUGUUUGUACUGAUAUAUGUAUACAUCAAAUGCACAUACAAUGAAGAAAGAUAGAAAUAAAAAAGUGUAAAAAUCAGUGAGAAUAAGGAAUUAAAAUAUGAAGAACGAUCGAAGAAUAUUUAAUUUCUUGAGUUUUUCGAAAAGUCCUCACCGAAUAUUCGCCGGAAAAAUACUAAAACCAGUAACCAAAACUUCUCCGGAAUCCAUUAAACUAACGACCAAACGGCCGGCGAAGCCCAGCACCGUCGAUCUCCCUUUUCCUUUUUCCGCUCCGUCACUCCCUUUCCCCAAGUCUAGCCGGAAUCUUCCUCAUCGGCGAAGUACAGCCGCGCCGCCCCUUUUCCCUUAUCCAGAUGCUGUCAGCCAUCAUUGGCCGAAAAAAGAAAAGGAAAAAUGCCCCCAACCGACGUAGUCUUCCCUCCUCCGGCGCUGUCGUCUUCCCGUCAGCCAAACCAGUGUCCCCUUACUCACUGCCACCGGCGAAUCUCAACCUAAAUCGCCAAAAAUGGUUAAAACAAUGGUGAGACACGUGAAUUUCUCUUCAGCAUGUAUUUUUUUUGGUUUUGGUUUAAAUCAGAUCUAUAGAUUUUUCUUUUUAGUCUAUGUAUCUACGCAGAUAAUUUUCAUGAAAAGAACAAACAAAAAGAAGAUAAUAGUUAAUGAUUCUUAGUUAGAAUAGGAUUUAUUCUCAUGAUUUUACUUUUUCUCUUUUUAGUGUUAGUGGUCAAGUCCUUUUAGUACAAUAUAUAAUAUAAUAAGUAGCACUCAUUAUUGGAAUGUUUCUUUAUUUAGUUUAUGAAAGUGAAAUAUAAAAGAAUUUAUGAUGACCAUUCAUUAAUUGUUUUUAAUUCAUGUGGGAUCAUAGGUAAUAUUUAAGUAGGG
This 16677-nucleotide long non-coding RNA is filed under the name Capsicum annuum. RNAcentral describes it as "long non-coding RNA (CANN_LNC011935)". The record is from RNAcentral. Lineage: Eukaryota; Viridiplantae; Streptophyta; Magnoliopsida; Solanales; Solanaceae.